This 2395-nucleotide long non-coding RNA is filed under the name Sus scrofa (pig). RNAcentral's name for it is "lncRNA (ENSSSCG00055023111.1)". The record is from RNAcentral. Lineage: Eukaryota; Metazoa; Chordata; Mammalia; Artiodactyla; Suidae.
ACCUAUACCAGAGUUCCAGCAGUGCCAGAUCCUUAACCUGCUGUGCCAUAAGGGAUUAUUUUCAUACAAAAAUUGUAUUAACUUGGAAUACGGAAUUGUUCAAGAGAGAAUAUAGGCGUUCCUGUGCUGGCUCAACGGAAACAAAGCUGACUAUCAUCCAUGAGGACACACGUUUGAUCCUUAACCCCCAAUCAGUGGGUUAAGGAUCUAGUGUUGCCAUGAGCUGUGGUGUAGGCUGCAGACAUGGCUCGGAUCUGCUGUUGCUGUGGCUGUGGUGUAGGCUGGCAGCUCUAGCUCUGAUUCGAACCCUGGCCUGAGAACUUCCACAUGCUGCAGGGGCAGCCCUAAAAAGCAAAAAUAAAAUAAAAAUUACUUUGAGGUAUAUAAUUAACCUAUAAAAGACAUUAUAUUCACUGCUUCAGUAAAUUUUUUUUUUGUCUUUUUGUCUUUUUGCCAUUUCUUGGCCCGCUCCCGUGGCAUAUGGAGGUUCCCAGGCUAGGGGUCUAAUCGGAGCUGCAGCUGCCAGCUUACGCCAGAGCCACAGCAACACGCGAUCCGAGCCGCGUCUGCGACCCACACCACAGCUUAAGGCAACGCUGGAUGGUUAACCCACUGAGCAAGGCCAGGGAUCGAACCCGCAACCUCAUGGUUCCUAGUCGGAUUCGUUCACCACUGCACCACGACGGGAACUCCAUCAGUAAAUUUUUAUCAAUGAAAUAUACACAAACUAAGGAAUUUUUAUUUACAGCUGUCUUCAGCACAGAGUAAUAUAUUAAUAGAAAACUUGGUUUUUGGAGUGGAAGUUAUUUCUGUACAAUGUUCUAUAGCCAUAAAAUUAGAUAAAAUAUAUUUAAGAACUUAAGCUGAGAGGAGAAAUAAAAAGGAAAUUAUUUCAAAUUUAGUACUGAUUAUUCUACCAUGCCAUAUGUGAAGGGUGAUUUUUUUUUUUAAAUAAAGGCAUUUUAAACACAAAUUGAGAACCUUAGUGACUGAUGUUCUAAAAUUGGCUUAGAAGAGUGUUUUCAAACUGUAGAUCUUCACUCAUUAGUGACUGUGAAAUCCUUUAAAUGUAUCAUGAUACUAUUUUUUAAUAAAAGGCAAUUGAAACAUCAAAGGCAUUACAUAUGCAUAUCUUAUGAAAAUUAAUUUGAAGUUUUAAAUUCACACCUACAUUUGUAUAUGUGAAAUACAUGCAUAUAGGAACUGGAUCACCAUAUAUACUUUAUGUAGGUCAUAUUCAAGAAAAUUUGGAUAUCUGUGACGAAAAUGGUUUAACAGGCAUCACGAGAUAUAGCUGGUUAUAAUGGGCCACCCAAAAAGCUUACUUGGUUGGAAAACAAGUUUUCAGGUAGUAAAACCAGAAAACUCGUGCCAUCUCAUUCGUGUAUGCAGAUCUGUAUGCGAGGCGGAGGUGUGCAACACUGCUAAGAGGCUCACAACAAAGCUGAUCGUGCAACACGAGGAAUGAUGACAGGGCAGGCUGUACAAUCUCCUUCUGCUUCAGAGUGUUGGAAAUAGCAUGUUCAAACGAUGCUUCUCAAACGGCACAUCACUUCCAAUGAAGCACCAGACCCCUCAUUUGGGGACAAUUUGGGUCUCUGGAUCUAUCCUGUGAAAAUGGAUUGUGAUGAUCAUUAUACAACUACAGAUGUGAUAAAAAAUAAGUAAAUAAAAAAUAAGAAAAUAAAAGUAAAAAAAGAAAGUAAAAAAUAAUAAUAAUAAAAAGAAAUUAAGAGAAGGACUUCCUGUUGCGGCUCCAUAGGUUAUCAACCCGAAGUAGUAUCCAUGAGGAUGCAGGUUUGAUCCCUGGCCUCCCUCAGUGGGUUAAGGAACCAGCGUUGCCGUGAGCUGUGGUGUAGGUGGCAGGCACGGCGUGGAUCCUAGAUGCCUGUGGCUGUGGUGUAGGCCAGCAGCUCUGAUUCAACCUCUGCCCUGGGAACUCCCACAUGCUGCAGGUGAGACCCUCAAAAGCACACACACACACAAAAAGAAAUUAAGAGAAGUAUGUUUAAGACCUCACCUGCGUUUUCCCUAGUUGCUGGACAGGAACUGAUGUAUUUCAGCUCUAUGGAUGACAGCUCCCUGGGCCACAAAAAGCAGACACUGACCGGCUGUGUCUAAGAUCACAGAGAAGGUAGUCAGGACACGGUCUGGUGGCUCCCACAAUCAUUGGCAACAGAGCACGCGUUUCUGAGUGAGGCCAAGGGUUGACCAUCUUGCAUAAGCUUGGGCACCCCAGUCUCCUGGUCGUGUCCUGUGCUGCAUGACACCCACCCGUGGCUGUCACAGUUCCUAAGACCAGGUCCCCUCACCCCUUCUCCAUUCCACACCCUCUCUGCUCUCAGCCGCACCUCAACUGAUCAUCGCCCUUCUCCACCGGAACGACCCACACCUU